GAAACCGAGUCUUAAUUGGGCGUUAAGUUGCAGGGUAUAGACCCGAAACCCGGUGAUCUAGCCAUGGGCAGGUUGAAGGUUGGGUAACACUAACUGGAGGACCGAACCGACUAAUGUUGAAAAAUUAGCGGAUGACCUGUGGCUGGGGGUGAAAGGCCAAUCAAACCGGGAGAUAGCUGGUUCUCCCCGAAAGCUAUUUAGGUAGCGCCUCGUGAAUUCAUCUCCGGGGGUAGAGCACUGUUUCGGCUAGGGGGCCAUCCCGGCUUACCAACCCGAUGCAAACUGCGAAUACCGGAGAAUGUUAUCACGGGAGACACACGGCGGGUGCUAACGUCCGUCGUGAAGAGGGAAACAACCCAGACCGCCAGCUAAGGUCCCAAAGUCAUGGUUAAGUGGGAAACGAUGUGGGAAGGCCCAGACAGCCAGGAUGUUGGCUUAGAAGCAGCCAUCAUUUAAAGAAAGCGUAAUAGCUCACUGGUCGAGUCGGCCUGCGCGGAAGAUGUAACGGGGCUAAACCAUGCACCGAAGCUGCGGCAGCGACACUGUGUGUUGUUGGGUAGGGGAGCGUUCUGUAAGCCUGUGAAGGUGGCCUGUGAGGGUUGCUGGAGGUAUCAGAAGUGCGAAUGCUGACAUAAGUAACGAUAAAGCGGGUGAAAAGCCCGCUCGCCGGAAGACCAAGGGUUCCUGUCCAACGUUAAUCGGGGCAGGGUGAGUCGACCCCUAAGGCGAGGCCGAAAGGCGUAGUCGAUGGGAAACGGGUUAAUAUUCCCGUACUUGGUGUUACUGCGAAGGGGGGACGGAGAAGGCUAUGUUGGCCGGGCGACGGUUGUCCCGGUUUAAGCGUGUAGGUGUGUGUUCCAGGUAAAUCCGGUUCACUUUAACACUGAGGCGUGACGACGAGGCACUACGGUGCUGAAGCAACAAAUGCCCUGCUUCCAGGAAAAGCCUCUAAGCAUCAGGUAACAUCAAAUCGUACCCCAAACCGACACAGGUGGUCAGGUAGAGAAUACCAAGGCGCUUGAGAGAACUCGGGUGAAGGAACUAGGCAAAAUGGUGCCGUAACUUCGGGAGAAGGCACGCUGACACGUAGGUGAAGUGAUUUACUCAUGGAGCUGAAGUCAGUCGAAGAUACCAGCUGGCUGCAACUGUUUAUUAAAAACACAGCACUGUGCAAACACGAAAGUGGACGUAUACGGUGUGACGCCUGCCCGGUGCCGGAAGGUUAAUUGAUGGGGUCAGCGCAAGCGAAGCUCCUGAUCGAAGCCCCGGUAAACGGCGGCCGUAACUAUAACGGUCCUAAGGUAGCGAAAUUCCUUGUCGGGUAAGUUCCGACCUGCACGAAUGGCGUAAUGAUGGCCAGGCUGUCUCCACCCGAGACUCAGUGAAAUUGAACUCGCUGUGAAGAUGCAGUGUACCCGCGGCAAGACGGAAAGACCCCGUGAACCUUUACUAUAGCUUGACACUGAACAUUGAGCCUUGAUGUGUAGGAUAGGUGGGAGGCUUUGAAGUGUGGACGCCAGUCUGCAUGGAGCCGACCUUGAAAUACCACCCUUUAAUGUUUGAUGUUCUAACGUGGACCCGUAAUCCGGGUUGCGGACAGUGUCUGGUGGGUAGUUUGACUGGGGCGGUCUCCUCCUAAAGAGUAACGGAGGAGCACGAAGGUUGGCUAAUCCUGGUCGGACAUCAGGAGGUUAGUGCAAUGGCAUAAGCCAGCUUGACUGCGAGCGUGACGGCGCGAGCAGGUGCGAAAGCAGGUCAUAGUGAUCCGGUGGUUCUGAAUGGAAGGGCCAUCGCUCAACGGAUAAAAGGUACUCCGGGGAUAACAGGCUGAUACCGCCCAAGAGUUCAUAUCGACGGCGGUGUUUGGCACCUCGAUGUCGGCUCAUCACAUCCUGGGGCUGAAGUAGGUCCCAAGGGUAUGGCUGUUCGCCAUUUAAAGUGGUACGCGAGCUGGGUUUAGAACGUCGUGAGACAGUUCGGUCCCUAUCUGCCGUGGGCGCUGGAGAACUGAGGGGGGCUGCUCCUAGUACGAGAGGACCGGAGUGGACGCAUCACUGGUGUUCGGGUUGUCAUGCCAAUGGCACUGCCCGGUAGCUAAAUGCGGAAGAGAUAAGUGCUGAAAGCAUCUAAGCACGAAACUUGCCCCGAGAUGAGUUCUCCCUGAGACUUUAAGUCUCCUGAAGGAACGUUGAAGACGACGACGUUGAUAGGCCGGGUGUGUAAGCGCAGCGAUGCGUUGAGCUAACCGGUACUAAUGAACCGUGAGGCUUAACCUUACAAC
This 2281-nucleotide ribosomal RNA is filed under the name Salmonella enterica subsp. enterica serovar Virchow. RNAcentral describes it as "partial 23S ribosomal RNA". It matches the Rfam family "Bacterial large subunit ribosomal RNA", at positions 673 to 2925 of the family's 2925-position model. The record is from RNAcentral. Lineage: Bacteria; Pseudomonadati; Pseudomonadota; Gammaproteobacteria; Enterobacterales; Enterobacteriaceae.